CUGGCGCAUUGUCGUCGGCGGCAGCGGAGGGCCGGCGCGCACAGGCUGCCUGGCUGGCCCGCGAAACCCGGUCUAAAAAGGAACGGAGGAUACAAGAUGGCGCAUGUUGACUGCCACACGAGACCGCCAACCGCUAAUGACGGGCGUUAUAGCAACUGACUAAGCCGGUAACUGGUUGCUGUCCUGGUACACUUUGAAAUUCAUCGACACAGCACCGUAUCGACCUGCCAGAGGCCCAAAAGAAAAUGGCGCGGCCUCUUGAACUUUGACCAAGGCUUCCUUACAACAGUGGUACUGUACUGUGGCACGAAGAU
This is a long non-coding RNA of Schistocerca gregaria, 314 nucleotides long. RefSeq lists it as uncharacterized. The record is from RefSeq and is a predicted model, not a curated record. The transcript has 3 exons. Lineage: Eukaryota; Metazoa; Arthropoda; Insecta; Orthoptera; Acrididae.